GACGAACGCUGGCGGCGUGCUUAACACAUGCAAGUCGAACGGAAAGGCCCUGCUUUUGUGGGGUGCUCGAGUGGCGAACGGGUGAGUAACACGUGAGUCACCUGCCCUUGACUUUGGGAUAACUUCAGGAAACUGGGGCUAAUACCGGAUAGGCGCUCCUGCUGCAUGGUGGGGGUUGGAAAGUUUCGGCGGUUGGGGAUGGACUCGCGGCUUAUCAGCUUGUUGGUGGGGUAGUGGCUUACCAAGGCUUUGACGGGUAGCCGGCCUGAGAGGGUGACCGGCCACAUUGGGACGGAGAUACGGCCCAGACGCCUACGGGAGGCAGCAGUGGGGAAUAUUGCACAAUGGGCGGAAGCCUGAUGCAGCAACGCCGCGUGCGGGAUGACGGCCUUCGGGUUGUAAACCGCUUUCGCCUGUGACGAAGCGUGAGUGACGGUAAUGGGUAAAGAAGCACCGGCUAACUACGUG
This 468-nucleotide ribosomal RNA is filed under the name uncultured bacterium. RNAcentral describes it as "partial 16S ribosomal RNA". It matches the Rfam family "Bacterial small subunit ribosomal RNA", at positions 28 to 507 of the family's 1533-position model. The record is from RNAcentral.